ACACGACGUAAGGGAUAAAAACAGAACGUAGAAUUGGAGUUGCCGUUGGAAAUGCCGAGAGAAAGAGAGAGAGGAGACAGAGUAGAAGCAAAGAGAAGUCUGUGACGUUUAUUUCAGAAAGCUACGACGGCUCUUGGUAGCGACCGGAGGCGACGGGCGGACACACCGGCGGCGUUGUAAACGAGCAAAGUUUCGAACCCAAUAUGCUGUCUCCGCGCAUGGAAAGCCCACAUUCAACCUGUCAAGAUAGCUAUAUCAAACAAUCCAAACAAAAGCGGCUUUGGUGCGGUCAAAACGGACUUUCCUACGAUCGAAUUGGAUUCGAACAUCGAGAAAAAGCAGGCAAGAUGGCGAAAGACUCAACAACGUUACAAUCAAAUUACGGAAUAAUCGCUAGGAGAAAACGUUCCAAUCGUAUUUCAACGAUUCUCAUUAUAUUUUCGUUAACGAGAUUCUAAUGAAGAUAUUGUUGAUUCUAAUAAUAAAUAUAAAUAAAUGACAAGGCAAUUUUGAAUCUUCGUACUUUAUCGAAGAUCUUUUCAAGUUUGUCAAAAAGGAAGAAGAAGAAGAAGGAGAAGAUCGCUUCUGGAUCCAUAACGACGCAGCUUCUCUAGCAAGCCCACUCGUUCUCCGAUGAUAUUUAUAAAGCAAACUUGGCGGUGCAAAGACCUCGCAAGGGAGUAAGUAAGAAAGAGAUAGAUAGAUAGAUAGAUAGAUGGAGAGAGAGAGAGAGAGAGAGAGAGAGAGAGAGAGAGAA
Molecule: long non-coding RNA, 757 nt
Organism: Vespa mandarinia (Asian giant hornet)
Lineage: Eukaryota; Metazoa; Arthropoda; Insecta; Hymenoptera; Vespidae
Source: RefSeq, a predicted model, not a curated record